Non-coding RNA from Fundulus heteroclitus (mummichog), 702 nucleotides. The record is from the annotation of a RefSeq genome assembly. NCBI's taxonomy places the organism in Eukaryota, Metazoa, Chordata, Actinopteri, Cyprinodontiformes, Fundulidae.
AUGUUCUCUGUAGCUCUCCUGCUGCUGCUGGCUGCUGGAUCCUGUGUGAAGUGUGAACAGCUGACACAGCCAGCCUCUGUGACUGUUCACCCAGGUCAACGUCUGACCAUCAGCUGUCAGGUCUCUUAUUCUAUGAGCAGCUAUGCAACUGACUGGAUCAGACAGCCUGCAGGGAAAGGACUGGAGUGGAUUGGGGGGAAAUAUACUGGAGGUUCAGACUACAAAGACUCACUGAAGAACAAGUUCAGUAUUGACUUAGACACUUCCAGUAAAACAGUGACUCUGAAUGGACAGAAUAUGCAGCCUGAGGACUCUGCUGUGUAUUACUGUGCCAGAAACGACCACAGUGACACAAACCAGCAGCACAGCUGUACAAAAACCCCUCAGAGUCGGAACAGGUUAUAUGAAACGACCAGAGGAGGCGCUCCAACACAAUUCAUUGUUGAACUCUUAAAAGUCUCUUAUGAUCUGAGCGACUGGACAGCUUGGAUCAGACAGGCUGCAGGGAAAGGACUGGAGUGGAUUGGGAUGAACGAUAUUUAUGGAAAUUCACGCUACAAAGAUUCACUGAAGAACAAGUUCAGUAUCGACGUAGACACCUCCAGCAGCACAGUGACUCUAAACGGACAGAAUAUGCAGCCUGAAGACUCUGCUGUGUAUUACUGUGCUAGAGUAGACGACAGUGACACAGUGACACAGUGA